This 449-nucleotide ribosomal RNA is filed under the name uncultured bacterium. RNAcentral's name for it is "partial 16S ribosomal RNA". It matches the Rfam family "Bacterial small subunit ribosomal RNA", at positions 355 to 796 of the family's 1533-position model. The record is from RNAcentral.
UGGGGAAUUUUGGACAAUGGGGGCAACCCUGAUCCAGCCAUCCCGCGUGUGCGAUGAAGGCCUUCGGGUUGUAAAGCACUUUUGGCAGGGAAGAAACAGCCUGGGAUAAUACCCCGGGCGACUGACGGUACCUGCAGAAUAAGCACCGGCUAACUACGUGCCAGCAGCCGCGGUAAUACGUAGGGUGCAAGCGUUAAUCGGAAUUACUGGGCGUAAAGCGUGCGCAGGCGGUUCGGAAAGAAAGGUGUGAAAUCCCAGGGCUUAACCUUGGAACUGCACUUUUAACUGCCGAGCUAGAGUACGUCAGAGGGGGGUAGAAUUCCACGUGUAGCAGUGAAAUGCGUAGAGAUGUGGAGGAAUACCGAUGGCGAAGGCAGCCCCCUGGGAUGAUACUGACGCUCAUGCACGAAAGCGUGGGGAGCAAACAGGAUUAGAUACCCUGGUAGCCA